RNAcentral lists this ribosomal RNA (465 nucleotides) under uncultured bacterium. Its description in RNAcentral is "partial 16S ribosomal RNA". It matches the Rfam family "Bacterial small subunit ribosomal RNA", at positions 338 to 795 of the family's 1533-position model. The record is from RNAcentral.
CCUACGGGAGGCAGCAGUAGGGAAUCUUCCACAAUGGGCGAAAGCCUGAUGGAGCAACGCCGCGUGGGUGAAGAAGGUCUUCGGAUCGUAAAACCCUGUUGUUAGAGAAGAAAGUGCGUGAGAGUAACUGUUCACGUGUCGACGGUAUCUAACCAGAAAGCCACGGCUAACUACGUGCCAGCAGCGGCGGUAAGACGUAGGUGGCAAGCGUUAUCCGGAUUUAUUGGGCGUAAGGGGAACGCAGGCGGUCUUUUAAGUCUGAUGUGAAAGCCUUCGGCUUAACCGGAGUAGUGCAUUGGAAACUGGGGGACUGGAGUGCAGAAGAGGAGAGUGGAACUCCAUGUGUAGCGGUGAAAUGCUUAGAUAUAUGGAAGAACACCAGUGGCGAAGGCGGCUCUCUGGUCUGUAACUGACGCUGAGGUUCGAAAGCGUGGGUAGCAAACAGGAUUAGAUACCCCUGUAGUC